Armigeres subalbatus is the source of this 1593-nucleotide long non-coding RNA. RefSeq lists it as uncharacterized. Lineage: Eukaryota; Metazoa; Arthropoda; Insecta; Diptera; Culicidae. The transcript is spliced from 3 exons. The record is from RefSeq and is a predicted model, not a curated record.
UUAAAUAUGCGACGAAGGUGACAUAAAAAUUGCAUUGUUCCAUAAUCUAUUAUACACAGUUCUGACGUCUCAAGAAUUAAAAUCAAUAUGUAUAUGUAUAGACUUUCUCGUGCUGUAAGUGUGACACUAAUAGCCUAAUUCAGCAAACGAGCUAUAUUUCGUGCCAACGAACAGGAGGACCACAUUCAGAGCAUGAUUGAAGGCGUACAAAGAACUAUUCACAGAAAAUGUUUUGGCAUCCGUUUCCGUGCCUUCCUUGACAUACAGUUUCGGGGUGUAGAAGUGGACCAAGACUGACUUAGAGGCGUUAGAACGAGCAGGACGAGUGGCGUUUGCCAAGCAUCGUAUGCGUCACCCAUUGAGAGAAUCACCUUGUCACGUGCAGUAAGCGGAAGAGGCGUCCCCGAUACACAAGCACAGUGUAUUUUCCAAACUCAAUUGCUACGAAUAUACUUCGUGGAGAGCCAGCACCGUCACGAAAUCUAUCGUUCUAUGUGUGAAGCUGACCAAGGAUUCAAAGCCCUGCACCGAAUGGAAUCGAGCCCCAGUCCACAUAUGCAUAUACUUUUCUAUGCAUUUGUUAUUGAGUAUCAAAGUACCAGUCUGAAGUUGAAUUUUGACAACACUGUUAAGAACAACACCGACAGAGUACAAACAUCGAGAAGGAGAUUGACCGGCCAAAAACCAACAAAGCCUCUGGUGUUGACCAACCGUCCCCAAGAGGGCGAUGGAAAGGCACUGGGAUACAGACGAUGCCCCUAAGCGAAGACGGAAAAACGAAGGAGCUACAACACAUUUUGGAAACAGCAAAGAUCAACGGAUAUAAUGAGAGGACGAUACAAGCAAUCAUCAACAAGAAGAAAAGGAACCUAAGGAGAAACGAACUGGCAACACCAACACCGAUCGACGAACCGCUAAAGAGAGUAUUGGUCCCUUAUGACCAAUACAUCGCCAAUCAGCUACGCCAUCGACUGAGGAAAUACGGCAUUGAUUUAGUAUUCUCCAGCAGAAGUAACCAACUUAAGACACAAAGACACAACUCCACAUAAGACAAAGUUGAAAUGUUAAAUAAGGCGGGGUUUAUGAAAUUAAUUGUUCACAGUGUGAUAAAGUAUAUGAAGGUCAAACAAAAAGAUCUUUAGAUAUAAGGUUCAAAGAACAUAUUGCAGAAGUAAAUAAAGCUAAGAAGGAAACUUAUAAAGGAUUAAAUUAAGAAUUUAUAUCUAAGGUAGCUGAACAUGUGUAUCAGGUCAGGAAAGUCAUUCAAUUACGACAUCAUACAUUAAAAUUUUAAGAAAUGUCUCUUUUCCGUGAAAACUUGAUGUUGCCGGGACCUUGGGAAUCUACCGAUAGACACAAACACGGUUGUUGAAUAAAGAUCAAGGAAAUGAAAGCUCUUGGCUUUUCUGGUUUAUACGUUAAGCACACAAGCGUAUGUGUGUCAUAUGGUUCCGUGGUAUAGCAAGCGCUUUCCAUUCCAGAGGUCAGCAGUUCGAAUCUAGGUGAAUCCAGUAUGGAACAUUUUGCUAUUAGCGGGCUUGGUAGUCAUAUGGCUACUGCUUCUGCCUCAUACGCAGGAGGUCGUGGGUUCAA